Molecule: transfer RNA, 73 nt
Filed under: Methanosarcinaceae archaeon
Lineage: Archaea; Methanobacteriati; Methanobacteriota; Methanomicrobia; Methanosarcinales; Methanosarcinaceae
Description: tRNA-Met
Rfam family: tRNA
About the family: Transfer RNA (tRNA) molecules are approximately 80 nucleotides in length. Their secondary structure includes four short double-helical elements and three loops (D, anti-codon, and T loops).
Source: RNAcentral
AGCGGUGGGGUAGCCAUGAGAUCCCGACGGGCUCAUAACCCGUAGAUCGAUGGUUCGAAUCCAUCCUCCGCUA